This 71-nucleotide transfer RNA is filed under the name Podarcis lilfordi (Lilford's wall lizard). Its description in RNAcentral is "tRNA.Asn". It matches the Rfam family "tRNA", at positions 5 to 66 of the family's 71-position model. Rfam says of the family: Transfer RNA (tRNA) molecules are approximately 80 nucleotides in length. Their secondary structure includes four short double-helical elements and three loops (D, anti-codon, and T loops). The record is from RNAcentral. Lineage: Eukaryota; Metazoa; Chordata; Lepidosauria; Squamata; Lacertidae.
GCUGUAGGGUAAUGGGUCAGUGUGUCUGGCUGUUAACCAGAAGGUUGGUGGUUCGAAACCACCCAGGGAUG